CAGCAGUUUUGUCCUCCUGACAACAGUAAAGCUUAACAACUUCUUUUAAGAUGAGGCUUUUACAUCUGAUUUUAUUUGUAAUUACUUUGUGUUUUUUCGGUGUUCAUUCUCAAGUAAAUCUGAAGGAAUCUGAUCCUGUAACUGUACUGCCAGGACAGUCACACCAGUUGUCGUGUAAAGCCUCUGGGUUUACAUUCAGUAGCUAUGACAUGCACUGGGUUCGUCAGGCUCCUGGUAAAGGACUGGAAUGGGUGGCAAGAGUAAGCAGUCCUAGUGGUAGUACUCAGUGGUAUGCAACAUCUGUUAAGGGAAGAUUCACCAUCAGCAGAGACAAUUCCAACAACAUGGUGCACUUAAAAAUGGACAGCCUGCAGGCUACAGACACGGCCGUGUAUUACUGUGCUAGAGACACACAGUAA
Molecule: non-coding RNA, 419 nt
Organism: Polypterus senegalus (gray bichir)
Lineage: Eukaryota; Metazoa; Chordata; Cladistia; Polypteriformes; Polypteridae
Source: the annotation of a RefSeq genome assembly